Molecule: ribosomal RNA, 460 nt
Filed under: uncultured bacterium
Lineage: Bacteria
Description: partial 16S ribosomal RNA
Rfam family: Bacterial small subunit ribosomal RNA
Source: RNAcentral
CCUACGGGUGGCAGCAGUGAGGAAUAUUGGUCAAUGGACGAGAGUCUGAACCAGCCAAGUAGCGUGAAGGAUGACUGCCCUAUGGGUUGUAAACUUCUUUGAUAUGGGAAUAAAAUGUUCCACGUGUGGGAUUUUGUAUGUACCAUAUGAAUGAGGAUCGGCUAACUCCGUGCCAGCAGCCGCGGUAAUACGGAGGAUCCGAGCGUUAUCCGGAUUUAUUGGGUUUAAAGGGAGCGUAGGUGGAUUGUUAAGUCAGUUGUGAAAGUUUGCGGCUCAACCGUAAAAUUGCAGUUGAAACUGGCAGUCUUGAGUACGGUAGAGGUGGGCGGAAUUCGUGGUGUAGCGGUGAAAUGCUUAGAUAUCAAGAAGAACUCCGAUUGCGAAGGCAGUUCACUAGACUGCAACUGACACUGAGGCUCGAAAGUGUGGGUAUCAAACAGGAUUAGAUACCCCAGUAGUC